This 400-nucleotide transfer-messenger RNA is filed under the name bovine gut metagenome. It matches the Rfam family "transfer-messenger RNA". Rfam says of the family: Bacterial tmRNA, also known as 10Sa RNA or SsrA, is named for its dual tRNA and mRNA-like properties. Its role is to liberate the mRNA from a stalled ribosome. The record is from RNAcentral.
GGGGAUGAUUUGGCUUUGACAGCGUGACGAGUCGGUGGGUAAGCAUGCAGAGCGACGGUGCCUGUGCUCUUUAAAAUCCUGACAUCAUAAAUUUUAACUGGCGAAAACAACUACGCUCUCGCUGCCUAGUCGAAGUAUAGUAAACUAGCUUUAUCGCUGCCCAAGGCGGCAGUGACGAGACAUCACCCGAUUGCCCUUGUUCCGAGGCGUUUCGAUAUGGUGGUGCUGGAAUAUCGGGAAUAGAGCGAGGCAAGCCUCGGGCCGAGCUUGAAAUUUAGAGGCUAAGCUGCAGGUUGGUGGUUUUGAUCCUGCCGGCAGACGAAAAUCAAGUCAAAACUAAGCAUGUAGAAAGCUCAUGGGUUCCGCGUUUGGACGAGGGUUCAAGCCCCUCCAUCUCCAC